GUACACUCCUGCGGGAGGCAGCAGUGGGGAAUUUUGGACAAUGGGGGCAACCCUGAUCCAGCAAUGCCGCGUGAGUGAAGAAGGCCUUCGGGUUGUAAAGCUCUUUUGUCAGGGAAGAAACGGUGGUGGCGAAUAACUACUACUAAUGACGGUACCUGAAGAAUAAGCACCGGCUAACUACGUGCCAGCAGCCGCGGUAAUACGUAGGGUGCAAGCGUUAAUCGGAAUUACUGGGCGUAAAGCGUGCGCAGGCGGUUGUGUAAGUCAGAUGUGAAAUCCCCGGGCUCAACCUGGGAAUUGCAUUUGAGACUGCACGGCUAGAGUGUGUCAGAGGGGGGUAGAAUUCCACGUGUAGCAGUGAAAUGCGUAGAUAUGUGGAGGAAUACCGAUGGCGAAGGCAGCCCCCUGGGAUAACACUGACGCUCAUGCACGAAAGCGUGGGGAGCAAACAGGAUUAGAAACCCGAGUAGUCCCAUGA
Molecule: ribosomal RNA, 478 nt
Filed under: uncultured organism
Description: partial 16S ribosomal RNA
Rfam family: Bacterial small subunit ribosomal RNA
Source: RNAcentral